RNAcentral lists this long non-coding RNA (967 nucleotides) under Rattus norvegicus (Norway rat). RNAcentral's name for it is "mitochondial displacement loop 1". The record is from RNAcentral. Lineage: Eukaryota; Metazoa; Chordata; Mammalia; Rodentia; Muridae.
AUCAAGAAGAAGGAACUACCUCCCCACCAUCAACACCCAAAGCUGAUAUUCUAUUUAAACUACUUCUUGUCAGUACAUAAAAUGAUAUAGGACAUUAAAACAUUUAUGUAUAUCGUACAUUAAAUUAUUUUCCCCAAGCAUAUAAGCAUGUAAUAUAUAUUUAAUGAUUUAGGACAUACAUUUAAACUCAACUAUAAAUUCAUAACAACAUGUCUAUUCUCGAAUACAUUAAAAUAAUGCUUAUUAGACAUAUCUGUGUUAUUAGACAUGCACCAUUAAGUCAUAAACCUUUCUCUUCCAUAUGACUAUCCCUGUCCCCAAUUGGUCUCUAUUUCUACCAUCCUCCGUGAAAUCAACAACCCGCCCACUCGUCCCCCUCUUCUCGCUCCGGGCCCAUUCGUCCUGGGGGUGACUAUACUGAAACUUUACCAGGCAUCUGGUUCUUACUUCAGGGCCAUCAAUUGGUUUAUCGUCCAUACGUUCCCCUUAAAUAAGACAUCUCGAUGGUAACGGGUCUAAUCAGCCCAUGAUCAACAUAACUGUGGUGAUAUACAUUUGGUAUUUUUUAAUUUUCGGAUGCCUUCCUCAACAUAGCCGUCAAGGCAUGAAGGUCAGCACAAAGUCCUGUGGAACCUUUUAGUUAAGGGUCAUUUAUCCUCAUAGACAAAGCUCGAAAGACUAUUUUAUUCAUGUUUGUAAGACAUAAAUAUUUAUAAAUACUGAAAAAUCUGUCAACAAACCCCCCCACCCCCUACACCUGAAACUUCAAUGCCAAACCCCAAAAACAUUAAAGCAAGAAUUAAAUAAAACAAAAAGCUACUUAAUUCUUAAAAGGCUUCUCCAUUCUAGUAGACCACAAAAUUUUAACUUAAAUCUUAGCAUUGGUAAAAUUUCCCGACACAAAAUCUUUCCUUCUAACUAAACCCUCUUUACUUGCCUACCCUCAGAAAAUUCCACAUACACCAAA